AACGAACGCUGGCGGCGCGCCUAACACAUGCAAGUCGAACGAGAAUCCGGGGCAACCCGGUAGUAAAGUGGCAAACGGGUGAGGAAUACAUGGGUAACCUACCCUUGAGAAGGGAAUAACCCGCCGAAAGGUGAGCUAAUACCCUAUACGCUAUCUUUUUUUCGAAAGGAAUAGGAAAGACCGGGUCGGAGGACCUGGUACUCAAGGAGGGGCGUCAUGUCCUAUCAGCUUGUUGGUGGGGUAACGGGCCUACCAAGGCUACGACGGGUAGGCUGGUCUGAGAGGAUGAUCAGCCACACUGGCACUGAGAUACGGGCCAGACUCCUACGGGAGGCAGCAGUGAGGAAUAUUGCGCAAUGGGCGAAAGCCUGACGCAGCGACGCCGCGUGGGGGAGUGAAGGUUUUCGG
RNAcentral lists this ribosomal RNA (408 nucleotides) under uncultured bacterium. Its description in RNAcentral is "bacterial SSU rRNA". It matches the Rfam family "Bacterial small subunit ribosomal RNA", at positions 29 to 421 of the family's 1533-position model. The record is from RNAcentral.